CCGGAGCCCGGGCGCCGCGGGGGCUCUGCCGGCUCGGGUCCCUCCUGACCGCCGAGGCCGCCGCUUUUCUUUGUACACUUUAGGCAACCUGGGCAGAGUCGUUUACAAAGAAAAUGACAGAUGCGUCUUUUCAAAUAUUUAAAUACUGAAGACCGGGUACGCCUUGGUCUUGAAGACUCCGGAAGGUUUUAUUUAUGGAUGUUUGUUUUAAAAAAGAGAGAAUAGCUGAAAAUGGCCAAAUAGACUGCCGCAUACUUACAAAAAUAGAAAGUUUUUUUUAGUUCCCGGCCUGCGUCCAGCAGGGGAAAGUUUUAGUCUCUGAAGAGCCUUUCAGGAAGCUUUGGGCGGUGGUGGCGGUGGUAUGAAGAGCUGCAGUGGCCUCCCUAACUUCAGCUGAAUUUAGUUUUCUUUGGGGGGAAAAAAAAGGUGAUGAAUGCGCCCUAGGAAUGGCUCUUUAUUAAAUUACGAGCCAGAGCCGCAGGUGUCGCUGCCGCCCCGGGCAGGCUGCUCGGGGGAGAAACGCGCCCAAACGCCCGGGGAGUCUGAAGCAGAUGCUGUCGAGGAAGGAGA
This 570-nucleotide long non-coding RNA is filed under the name Dasypus novemcinctus (nine-banded armadillo). Its description in RNAcentral is "lncRNA (ENSDNOG00000050761.1)". The record is from RNAcentral. Lineage: Eukaryota; Metazoa; Chordata; Mammalia; Cingulata; Dasypodidae.